UGCUUCUCUCUCUGCCUCUGCCCCUCCCCACAAUUUGUAUUCUCACUUGCUCUGCUCUCCCUCUCUCUCUCAAAUAAAUAAUCUUAAAGGGAAAAAAAAACUGGAUGUGAGCAAGACUGUUCCAGAAGCUGAAGUAGUAACAAGAGACUAGAUACAAGAUGAUUGGCCAACAAACGAUAAGCAUUGUUUUCUCCUCAGUGACCUCGCAGCAAACACCAGUCUUCCAUACCACAAAUGCGAGCUAGGUCACAAAACCAACAGUGCUUUUUCUGGGUACCUCUUAGACACUCAAAUCCUGCUUAAAUGGUCUCUGGUCUGGUUACCAGAUUAUAGGUAGGGUCCUCGCCUGGGACUGAGAACUGGCUUACUGCCCUACUUAAGCAAGGUUGAAGUGAUUUGUCCAUUAAAACUCAGAGUAGGUCAACCUAAGUUAGUAUUUUUCUUCAUACUAUUUUAACCUUUUAUUAUUAUUAUUUUUUUAAAGUGAGCUCUAUGCCCAUUGUGGGGCUUGAACUCCCAAACCAGAGAUCAAGAAUCACAUGCUCUUCAGACUGAGUCAGCCAGGCACCUCAGUGUUUAUUUAGUAUUAAUAAAAUCUAAUGUGUACGGAACACUCACUAUGUACCAGACCAUUUAUGCAUACAUUAUCUCAUUUAAUUGUCCCUAAAAGGCAGGCAGGGACAAGGGGCCCCGCCCCAAAAGGAAACCACCCUUCCAAGGAUUUUACACCACCCUGGAAGGAGCCUGCCACCCUUUCCCACAUGAUAGGCAGGUGACAAAAACCUGAUUGGGUGACAGGUGCAUGAGAGUUAAUCAGAUUAAAACAGCCCAUCUGCAAGCCCCCCCACCCCCCCCACCCCCAGCAAAAAAAACCCAGACUUAGAAACUCCGGUGGCAAUCCUCUCGGGUCCCCUUGCUCUUCGGGAGCUUUGUACUCUCUCACUCAAUAAACUUGGCUUUGCUGCCCACCACUCUUCAA
Lutra lutra (Eurasian river otter) is the source of this 979-nucleotide long non-coding RNA. RefSeq lists it as uncharacterized. The record is from RefSeq and is a predicted model, not a curated record. Lineage: Eukaryota; Metazoa; Chordata; Mammalia; Carnivora; Mustelidae. The transcript has 2 exons.